UACGGAAGGCAGCAGUGGGGAAUAUUGCACAAUGGGCGAAAGCCUGAUGCAGCUAUGCCGCGUGUAUGAAGAAGGCCUUAGGGUUGUAAAGUACUUUCAUCGGGGAGGAAAAACAAAACUAAUAAUUUUAUUUCUUGACGUUACCCGAAAAAGAAGCACCGGCUAACUCCGUGCCAGCAGCCGCGGUAAUACGGAGGGUGCUAGCGUUAAUCAGAAUUACUAGGCGUAAAGAGCACGUAGGUGGUUUUUUUAAAGUCAGAUGUGAAAUCCCUGGGCUUAACCUAGGAACUGCAUUUUGAAACUGAAAUACUAGAGUAUCGUAGAGGGAGGUAGAAUUCUAGGUGUAGCGGUGAAAUGCGUAGAUAUCUGGAGGAAUACCUGUGGCGAAAGCGGCCUCCUAAACGAAUACUGACACUGAGGUGCGAAAGCGUGGGGAGCAAACAGGGAUUAGAUACC
RNAcentral lists this ribosomal RNA (456 nucleotides) under uncultured bacterium. RNAcentral's name for it is "bacterial SSU rRNA". It matches the Rfam family "Bacterial small subunit ribosomal RNA", at positions 340 to 786 of the family's 1533-position model. The record is from RNAcentral.